UACGAGGGGGGCAAAUGUUGUUCGGAAUCACUGGGCGUAAAGGGAGCGUAGGCGGGUUUUUAAGUCCGGUGUUUAAUCCCGGGGCCCAACCCCGGACAGGCACUUGAAACUGGGAAUCUUGAAUAGUGGAGAGGUCAGUGGAAUUGGGGGUGUAGCGGUGGAAUGCGUAGAGAUCCCCAAGAACACCCGUUGCGAAGGCGGCUGACUGGACACAUAUUGACGCUGAGGCUCGAAAGCAUGGGGAGCAAACAGG
This 253-nucleotide ribosomal RNA is filed under the name uncultured bacterium. RNAcentral describes it as "partial 16S ribosomal RNA". It matches the Rfam family "Bacterial small subunit ribosomal RNA", at positions 524 to 776 of the family's 1533-position model. The record is from RNAcentral.